Molecule: transfer RNA, 95 nt
Filed under: Scedosporium apiospermum
Lineage: Eukaryota; Fungi; Ascomycota; Sordariomycetes; Microascales; Microascaceae
Rfam family: tRNA
About the family: Transfer RNA (tRNA) molecules are approximately 80 nucleotides in length. Their secondary structure includes four short double-helical elements and three loops (D, anti-codon, and T loops).
Source: Rfam by way of RNAcentral
GCUCGGUUAGCUCAGUUGGUUAGAGCGUGGUACUAAUAAACUAUCCGGUUUAUCCAGUAAUGCCAAGGUCAUGAGUUCGACCCUCAUACUGAGCA